This is a non-coding RNA of Paramuricea clavata, 389 nucleotides long. Lineage: Eukaryota; Metazoa; Cnidaria; Anthozoa; Malacalcyonacea; Plexauridae. The record is from the annotation of a GenBank genome assembly.
GGUAGACUUAACAUGGCAGAAGAAGAUGAAUGUUGCGGGGAAAAGUGUCUGAAGACAGCGUCAAUCAUUUUGAAAUUUUUGGAAGCUGUAAGAUUUUUUUUUAGUAAACCAGAUUAUGGCGUAGGCAGAUCAGUUAAUGAUCCAGUAUAGAUAGAGUGAAUAGUACAUAUAACUAACAAACGAACCCUAAAUAAUUUUGCUUGUUAUUUUAUCUUAUACCUAGACAUUUCUGCUGAUUUGCAUUGCUUCUGUUGCAUAUUACCUCAGCAACAGGGAAGGCGAUUUUGACAAGAGAAAAACCAUCGAGUUUUUCGUUGAUGCAUCACUGGUGGCAAUAUCUGUUGUGGUGUUGUUCAUUCUGAUAUGGCUGUUUGAAAUUCACAAACACG